Molecule: ribosomal RNA, 464 nt
Filed under: uncultured bacterium
Lineage: Bacteria
Description: partial 16S ribosomal RNA
Rfam family: Bacterial small subunit ribosomal RNA
Source: RNAcentral
AACGAACGCUGGCGGCAUGCUUAACACAUGCAAGUUGAACGCAGAAUAGGGCUUCGGCUCUAUUGCUGAGUAGCAAACGGGUGAGUAACGCGUGGGAAUCUACCUUCUUGUGGGGGAUAACUUAGGGAAACUGUAGCUAAUACCGCAUACGUCCUACGGUGGAAAGGCUUCGGCCGCAAGAAGAGGGGCCCCAGUCAGCUUAGGUAGUUGGUGGGGUAAAAGCCUACCAAGCCAAUGAUCUGUAGCUGGACUGAGAGGAUGAUCAGACACACUGGGACUGAGACACGGCCCAGACUCCUACGGGAGGCAGCAGUGGGGAAUAUUGGACAAUGGGGGAAACCCUGAUCCAGCAAGGCCGCGUGAAUGAAGAAGGCCUUAGGGUUGUAAAGUUCUUUCACCUGUGAAGAUAAUGACGGUAGCAGGAGAAGAAGCCCCGGCUAACUCCGUGCCAGCAGCCGCCGUAA